AACCCAUGGUUUAGACAUUUUCUCGGCAUCCUCUUGAAUCUCUCCCAUGUCUCACAGAAAGACUCUUCUACUCCUUGUCUGAACAUAGAUAUUUCAGACUUAACAUU
This is a non-coding RNA of Phaseolus vulgaris (common bean), 107 nucleotides long. NCBI's taxonomy places the organism in Eukaryota, Viridiplantae, Streptophyta, Magnoliopsida, Fabales, Fabaceae. The record is from Rfam.